CUGUUCACAGCCCUGUGAUAAAUGCGUGAAAUUAAAAGCAGAAUUCAAAAAGUUCAGUACAGCUAACAAAAAUAUAUCUUGCACGUAAAUCAGAAUUCGAAAACUCGAAAAUCGACAAGGUAUCUAUAUAUGUGGUAUAUUAUUCGCGUAUCAUCAACCACCUGUCGCGUAUUUAUAUGUUCAACAACACGUAUACAUAUAUACAUACGCAGUACGUACGUACGUACAUACGUACGCUUAUAUAUACGUACAGCAAUGAUACGCAUAUCAUUGGUUAAAAAUUACUGUCAUACUGACUCGUUUAAACGCAAAGGGACGCUCGAUUUGACUCUCGCGGAAAAAGGGCGCCUGCCACUGCUUGACGAUAAAGCUGCGGACAAAGCCUGCAAGUGACAUCAGCAGUCAAAAUAAAGGAAAGGUAUUGUUGAAUAAAAAUUUAUUAUAUCAUCCUCGGAAUAAUUUUAAACAUACGAUGCAAAGUAUUCCUGAAACUUAACGAUUAAGGAAAUAAUCUUGUAAAAAAUUUUAUUUGUAAAAACCUGGAACAAAUGCAACGUGACCUUCAAAACUUUUAUAUGAUGUAUUAAUCAGAAAAUUUCAUUAUAAUCUUGCACAAUCUCUACAUUUAGCAGGGUUGCUCCCCAUGAAAGUGUUACUUUUGUGCCUGCUAAUCUCUGUGUAAGUAUAAAAUGUAUCUGUAAUAGGUUCAACAGAUCUGACAUAAUAGAAAACUAAUGGGUACACAACUAACCAAAAUAGUGUAUACUAAAAGAAAAGCUAUAGAAGUAUAUUUAAAAAUAUUUAUUGGGUAUUAUAACAAUAAAAAAGUGUUCAAACAAAAUAUUAAAAAUAA
Bombus impatiens (common eastern bumble bee) is the source of this 853-nucleotide long non-coding RNA. RefSeq lists it as uncharacterized. Lineage: Eukaryota; Metazoa; Arthropoda; Insecta; Hymenoptera; Apidae. The transcript is spliced from 3 exons. The record is from RefSeq and is a predicted model, not a curated record.